UAUAUCAGGUUGACAGUAGGGGUCCAGGCCAGCAGCAGCAGGAUAGGUGAAAUCACAUUAAGUGGAAUGAAUGUGAUUGGGCCCCAGGCUUGUCAUCAACACACAGGCCUCCAACUGUUUCUGGAUUACAUCGUGAAGGGCAGAAGGGUCCAAAAACUGCAAACAAUUUACUGGAGGGUGUUUGGAGAUUCAGUCAGUUGAGUUCCUCCAGUGAACUGCAAAUCAUUUCCCAUUCAGACAAGCAGUCGUCCUGACCAGAGCUGACCUGGAUCCUCCCGCUUACAAGGGCAGUCUCUCUUCCAAGUGCUGGACGAACGCCUCCUUCCACCUUGAUGAAUAUUGCAGAAGUUCGAGGAGUGUGAGCCAUUGAUGGAAUCCACCUCAAUCAGCAGGAGAAUCGAUGGCAUACACUCACAUUUGCAAAGGCGCUAAUUGGCGGCAGUACAAUUCGGCAAGCUGUAUAAUUUACCCAAGAGAGAAAUGGGAGCGGAGUGCACGGAGAUCAGCUCAUUUGCAACAGAGGUAUUAAAAAACCCUGUCAUUCUAAAAUCAGAAGGCCUUCAACAGAUGCAGAGGAGACCAAACCAAAUGCCAAAUUAUUAAUGUCUCUGCUUGUCAGGGCCAAUGAAGUACAAGCUCUUGAAGGAGGAUUUUUCUUGCUGGAGAAGUAACAUUGAAAACCUCUUCAAUGAAGGACAGAGUCUCACUGGCAAUACCUGACCCUCGCUCUACCCACCUUUGUUAUGCUGACAUACAGUGUUAGCUAAACACACAACUACGAAAUUACACCAGAGGGAACAUUCAGUGAAUAUUUUUCUCUCUUACAUCUUACAGUUGGUGAAAAAGGGCAUGGACGGCAAGGCCUUGACUCCCCUCGCAACAAUAAUUGCACUUUUAGACUGUUUAUCUAAUAAGAGUGCACAGAGGAAGUGAGAUCAGAAGGGAGUGCAGAGGAGAGGAAGAGCGAGUUAGAAAGUGUGGCUGUUGCCCCAGACAACCCCGUGGGUGUAGUUUGAUUCCAGCCGAGGAACUUUGUUGCAUGUCAUACCCCCUUCU
Long non-coding RNA from Siniperca chuatsi (mandarin fish), 1056 nucleotides. RefSeq lists it as uncharacterized. Lineage: Eukaryota; Metazoa; Chordata; Actinopteri; Centrarchiformes; Sinipercidae. The record is from RefSeq and is a predicted model, not a curated record. The transcript has 3 exons.